This 508-nucleotide ribosomal RNA is filed under the name uncultured bacterium. RNAcentral describes it as "partial 16S ribosomal RNA". It matches the Rfam family "Bacterial small subunit ribosomal RNA", at positions 30 to 523 of the family's 1533-position model. The record is from RNAcentral.
AUUGAACGCUGGCGGCAGGCCUAACGCAUGCAAGUCGAGCGGCAGCGGGAAAGUAGCUUGCUACUUUUGCCGGCGAGCGGCGGACGGGUGAGUAAUGCCUGGGGAUCUGCCCAAUCGAGGGGGAUAACUACUGGAAACGGUAGCUAAUACCGCAUACGCCCUACGGGGGAAAGCAGGGGACCUUCGGGUCUUGCGCGAUUGGAUGAACCCAGGUGGGAUUAGCUAGUUGGUGAGGUAAUGGCUCACCAAAGCGACGAUCCCUAGCUGGUCUGAGAGGAUGAUCAGCCACACUGGAACUGAGACACGGUCCAGACUCCUACGGGAGGCAGCAGUGGGGAAUAUUGCACAAUGGGGGAAACCCUGAUGCAGCCAUGCCGCGUGUGUGAAGAAGGCCUUCGGGUUGUAAAGCACUUUCAGCGAGGAGGAAAGGUUGGUAGCUAAUAACUGCCAGCUGUGUCGUUACUCGCAGAAGAAGCACCGGCUAACUCCGUGCCAGCCGCCGCCGUAA